GACGAACGCUGGCGGCGUGCUUUACACAUGCAAGUCGAACGGCAGCACGGACUUCGGUCUGGUGGCGAGUGGCGAACGGGUGAGUAAUAUAUCGGAACGUGCCCAGUCGUGGGGGAUAACGUAGCGAAAGCUACGCUAAUACCGCAUACGAUCUACGGAUGAAAGCGGGGGAUCGCAAGACCUCGCGCGAUUGGAGCGGCCGAUAUCAGAUUAGGUAGUUGGUGAGGUAAAGGCUCACCAAGCCGACGAUCUGUAGCUGGUCUGAGAGGACGACCAGCCACACUGGGACUGAGACACGGCCCAGACUCCUACGGGAGGCAGCAGUGGGGAAUUUUGGACAAUGGACGCAAGUCUGAUCCAGCCAUUCCGCGUGCAGGACGAAGGCCUUCGGGUUGUAAACUGCUUUUGUACAGAACGAAAAGGUCUCUAUUAAUACUAGGGGCUCAUGACGGUACUGUAAGAAUAAGCACCGGCUAACUACGUGCCAGCAGCCGCGGUAA
This 500-nucleotide ribosomal RNA is filed under the name uncultured bacterium. RNAcentral describes it as "partial 16S ribosomal RNA". It matches the Rfam family "Bacterial small subunit ribosomal RNA", at positions 28 to 523 of the family's 1533-position model. The record is from RNAcentral.